Molecule: long non-coding RNA, 7205 nt
Filed under: Lactuca sativa (garden lettuce)
Lineage: Eukaryota; Viridiplantae; Streptophyta; Magnoliopsida; Asterales; Asteraceae
Description: long non-coding RNA (LSAT_LNC009549)
Source: RNAcentral
AAUCUAACAUACAACUCCUACUGGUGGGCCGGCAUUGUGGCCGUAGACCCACCGCUACUGGAAGGUAACUCACCUUACACUGCUGAAGUCUCGAAGACACAAUCCCACACUUGCUGAAGUCCUGCAGACUCGACCCCAGCUACUAGCUGAUAGAUUCCCGAACUGUCAACACCAAAAUAACACUCAAUUAAUAAUUGGGUCCCAAAUCAUAACCAUAAGUACAUUCUUUGGGUAAUUACUACAUUACCCAUCGCUUGGCUUAUUCAAGCCCAAGGCCCAAUCCGUAGGCCCAAAGUCAAUUAGGAAUCAAAGCCCAACACAUGGCCCAAUUUCCAAAUUGGCCUAGGCCUAUACAUGGUCUCAUUCUGAGGCCUAACAUCAUGUACUUAUUAAGGCCCAAAAUAUGGCCUCAAGCCCUUUACAUAGGCCUUACCCUAGGCCCAUUAACUUAUUCUAGUCCAAUUGCUUGACUUUGGAUGGCCCAUUAAUAACCCGAUCAUCAAGGCCCAAUAAGAGGCCCAAUAAUAAACCCAAAUGAGAUUAGGGUUUCACAUAAAAUGACAAUUAAGGUUAGGUUUCCUACUUAACCCAUUAAGGACUUAAUCCUCUAAGGACUUUAAUCCAUUAAGUCUAAUAUCGUUUAGAUUAAUCUUUGCCAAUGAUUAUUAUUUAAUAUCUCAAGUUAUUAAAUAAUUUUCGUGUGUCCCGAUUAAUUCCCCCAAAUUAGGGUUUCAUGGCAUUUGGGUUUUCCAAACCCUAAUUAGGGUCUCCAACCCAAUACUAGCCCAUUAAUUAAUUUGUUGGGCUUUUAGAUCAAUUAGGGCUUUAUUGGGCCUAUUAAUCCCAUUAGAAUAUUAUUAAGCCCAUUAAGGUUUCAUUAGGGUCCAUUAAGGUUUUAUUAAGCCCAUUAAGUCUUAUUGGGCCCAUUAGGGUUUCAAACCCCCAAACAAAUCAACAAAAUCAAGACAAGGCACACCGCCACCCAACACGGCGACCCGUGGCGGCGGGAGGCGGUAGCCACCACCUCACGGUGGUGGUUUUGAUUUUUACUUUCUUUAUUCCAAUUUUUUUUUUACAUUUUACAAUGAACCCAUGAAAUAAACACACACACCCACUACAUGAAAAUAACACAGACACAGCCACCUAAUGGUGGCCAGCGGUGGCACAUGGGGGUAGCCACCACCUCACGGUGGUGGCUAAGACUUCCCUUCAAAUUCCGACCAAGGGUUUCACACCCACACACUACGACACACACAAAGCCCUAAAACAGUUACACCAUCACCCACCUAGAGGUUCACGGUGGUGGCAACGAUAGACACGUCGUCGGCAGCAACACAAGCGAACAACAGCAACGGCGGUAGGGCGGCGAAGCAACCAUGAAAACAGCAGCAAUAGAAGGAGGACACGCCUGCUCGUGUCCUCCUCGACGAUUUAAAAUAGCAACGCCGCUGGGAGGCCAACACCACACUCCGACAGCAACGUUAUUGGCUGGGAACAGAAACAAUACCUUCCCCGACAUCAGACUUCAAAUGCCUCGGUUCCUCCAGCGACAACUCGUGGAAGCAUAGAACCUGAGAUAGUGGCAACGGCAGGUUCAUUAUAGUGGCUUCGGUGGUCGACAGCUCAAUAGUGGUGGUGUGGCGCCGGGAGGUGAAGAAGGAAGCGGCAAACGGUGGGAGGCAUAAGGGGGGUAUGGGAGUGACGGUUGUAUAGUCUUUUAUGGUUAGGGUAAUGUAACAAGGAAGAAGCAACUAUCGGGUUUAAAUCCCACAUCAAACAAUCCUUUGCCUGUUUUUACAUGAUCGGUCCCUCCCCCUUGGGAUCUUUUCAAAUUAGCUCCAAUAAUUACAAUUUUACCCCUCCUCUACAAAUUUGUUCUCAAUAAAGUCCCAAAAUUCACAAGUUAGUUCCUGAGUCUCCAAGGCCUCUUCAAUGAAGUCCCAAAAGUUACCAUAUAGCCCCUUCCUUCAAAAAUAUAUACAAAACUAAUCCAUAAUUAACAAAACCACCCCUUGAUUGACAAUUUCUUUUCAAUUAAGGUCCAAUGCUCAAAUUUAAGCCAUGUUACAUUUUUAGUCCCUGCCUUCUAACAUUGUAGCCUUUGGUUCACAAAAACCAACACCUUGCAAUAGAAUUAUUUAUUUUAAGGCUACUAAUCGUUCAUUAUUUUAUUUAUUUAUUUAAUAAAUAAAUAGGUGUUACAACUCUCCCCCACUUAAAUUAGAUUUCGUCCUCGAAAUCAUUUCUUACCAUUUCUUAUGCACCUAACCACUCAAGUAAUAUGGCCACCAUAUUGGGCACACCCUGGCCUUCCCAGGGUAACUGUGACCAAUCUUCGUAAAGCCUUAAAAUAUGUUGUCUCAAGAUGGCCUGAUCCCCUGACAGCCCACUCAUACUGAAUCAUUAUCGACAAGUCCAGUCUGUUUGUCCUUCAACUGUCUACUCAACUUCUGAUAGUUCAUGGUUCCCACUAUAAAAUAGGUUCACAUACCUUAUUAUCCUAGCAGAUCACUUAUUCUUGGUCAAGGCUCUGCUAAUCCCGCUGGGAGUGACUUGUCACUUCCUAACCAACCAGUUAUUCCGUCCGUACUUGCAAUCCUGAACACAAAUGCUAAGAUUGCCCAAACACUGAACUACCUGAAGUAGCAUACGCUGCUACAUAGCUGCUUACCAAAAGCUACCAAGACCUCUUGGGUCAUAAUUCGCUUGCCAAUCCUCUGAAAUACUGAGUUUCCACCUGACUGCAGAGCCAAAGGACUUCAUACUUAGUCGCCUCACAUGACUUCUGAACGAAAUCCUUCUCUGGAACUAGUUGCCACUAGUUAUCAUGCCACUAUGAGUCUAACGACUUUCUGAUCUAACCGAUCGAGUCCAUGCAUCGCAUCCUGUCAUCAUCCAAUCCAAGAAUAAAAGUGAUCGCUACCUAACCAAUGGUAGCCUUACAUCACCAACGCCCUUACGCAGUCCAUUACAUCCCUGAUCUCACAACUAUGGUGGCGUUCCUACAAUCUUAUCACUGGCUCAACCAGAUUUAAUCCAUCUGGGUAAUACAAAAAUCCAAUAUGGGGAUUUCCAUAUCCUCACUGCCGCACCCGAACUGGUGGGUACUACUGUUCCUUUGACGUUGUAACAACACGCUCAUGCCAUCUACCAACCUAGUGAAUGAUACGGCUACACUCGCUGACUUACAACAUUCUAUCACUGUCUACCUGCUAGUGAAUGCUAUGGCUACACCCGCAGACUUACAACAUUCUAGUACUAUCUGCCAACCUGGUGAAUGCUACGGCUACACCCACAGACUCACAACACCUUAACACUAUCUGCUAACCUGGUGAAUGCGACGGCUACACCCGCAGACUUACAAUACCCCUCACACGAUCUGCUGCUAGUGAAUGCUAUGGCUACCCCCGUAGUCUUACAACACUUCCCAUGAUAACUGACUGCUAGUGAAUGCUAUGGCUACCCCCGUAGUCUUACAACACUUUCCAAACUAUCUGACUGCUAGUGAAUGCUACGGCUACCCCCGUAGUCUUACAACACUAUCCAUACUGGGUCGAACACGCACUCGACCUAACACAGAACUGAACUUGAGUCCUAACUGGAACACAAAUCUGGUUCCCGAAACCUGUUAUCACGUGACCCCAUUGUAUCAGUAGUGUACCGAUGCUCGUGAUCAAAGCGUCACCAUAAACCACAAAAUCAUCUACACCCUCUGGCAGGGUGAGAAUCGGUGUCUCGUACAACCGAUGUCUGAGAGCAUCGAAGGCUGCCUGCUGCCCAGGUCCCCAACGAAAGGCCACUGAUUUCUUGGUCAGUCGGGUCAAAGGAACCACAAUAUCGAAGAAGUCCUACAUAAAUCUCCGGAAAUAACCCGCUAUACCCAGGGAAUUCCGAAUCUCAGAUGGAGACCUCGGAAUCUCCCACUACAUCACAGAAUCUAUGUUGGCCGAAUCAACUAGAAUACCCUUCUGGUUGACAAGGUGGCCAAGAGAUUGCACCUUGCACAACCAGAACUCAGUUGGAGAACUUUAUAAAAAGCCUCUCCCCCAUUUAGACUCGACUAAGUCUUCACAUUACAUGAGAAUUGAAGGAUUUCCAAUCCUUCUCGCUUUCUAAUAUCCCACUGAUGACAACCAGUACCUGCUAAUGCUAGCGCUUAAUCGCCGAUUAAACCUAGAGAUCUCCCAUCCUCGGGAAUCUUGAUGAGUACUCUUGAAAUAUGGUCCAAUCUGACACCUUAAUCUACCUCCCAUGUUGACAACUGGAGGCCUUAAUUCUCACUCUGGCUGACGAAUCCUCACCCUCACUUCCAAUCUUGCAGCACUACUAAACUCUAACUGAACACAGCCCAUGCGAAAAUACAAUUCUCUUAAACAUGCGAUGACCAACCACUUAUGCAUCUAACACCUGUGACUGAUACUACCCUUUUCAUGUGACCAGCUCUAUUCUAGCAACGGUAGUGCCUUGAACUCCAAAGUUCAUCCAUAGACAAUUAUCGACCAUAGUUGAACAAUGAUAGAGCCCCAUGAACACUGACUUCAUUGGAGAACAAUCACUCCAAACCUGAUCGAGUAUCCUCUAAAUAAUACUCCUGCAUAGAUCCCGACAAGGAUCCGAAAUGAUAACGGUAUGUGAGGAACCCACUCCGCAAGAUGCGUCCCUAUUUGGAUUCAUCAAGGACCUUUUCGGCAUGCAGAAUGGCAUAUAUGAUCCUUGGUAACCCAAAUACUAGCAGAAAAACCGACCCGAGGUCUGACUUAUCCAAACUCGCUCACAAUUCCAAAGCAGUACGUAUUCCAAGCAUCUACCUAAUAUCAUAGAAGAUGACAUUCCCAUAACAUCUGGAGGAAUACUGACCCCCUUCUGCUGACAUGACCAAUCCUGCUACCCUGUAGCAGCCUAAACCCUUGGAGUGACAAACUAUCUCAUGUACUUUCUCGUACGCGCUGCACUAACUCAGGCCAUGCUGGCCUUUCACCCAAUGAUCAGAAGUCAUGGGUCUCCUCCUGGGACCCUCUCCUAUAUGCGCCUAGCAAGCACCUCUCUUUCCAGGGUGCUCCUAAAUCGAUCACGCAUCUGCAACUCUUGGAAAUCAUAUCCUUCAGGGUCUGGCACCCUAUCACGCUCACUAGCUCACUUGCCAAUGGCUAAGCUGCAACACCUGGAACAUCCUCUAUCCCCAAACUGGGUCACGAACUCUUCCCUGAAGCUUCUUAGAUUCUAGACUUUCACUGAUUCGAGUAUGGAUCCUGUGUUUUCAGUAGUACGGGCCCAAUACUACCUUCCACACCUAUCCAUACUUGCCUCAGCAAUCCUCCCGAAUCCUCCAAGUCACUUCCUCAAUCUGGCACACCCAAGUCUGACUGAGCCUCACUACUAACUCACUGAAAUAUAUCCUAGGCUUCCCUAGGUUCCCGAACUCACCCAGUCCUUAGCUGCUGAAAGAUUCCUGGUAAUGUCAACUAGCUACCUUACGAAUAUAGCCACUUGCAACAGAGAUCAAAUAAUCCUUCAAGUAACAGACUCAUCCCUAUAACGGUUAGACUCAAACGAGAGCUACGCAAUAGGGUUAAAUCUAUCACUCUGAGAUUAUCCAUCCUGUGCCACAUGUGACUUAGCAUAUUCACUUAAUAGCUAACACACAUUACUAAGAGUUCCACAAAGCACAAAGCAAGCAGCAUUCAGACAAUGGAAAAUCUAACCAUCAUAUUCCAAUCAAAUCAUUCUAUCCUCUAAUCAGGAAUCUAUACAUGCAAUUCAAAGGCUCAUAUAAUUAGGCAUAACCUAAACAGGCUAUCCUAUUACUGAGUGAUCAGUACUAGCAUGCAAGUCUACAAGCACAUACAAUAGGCAUAUAAGGUAUCCUCCUAGAUCCUUAGCCCUAAUAUAGCAUGCAAUUCUCAUAACCAUAUCAUAUCAUACCAUAAUAUAACAUGUAUGGAUAUCUUGGGGAAAACUUACUUGAUCUCGGCUGAUUGCACACAUCAUACACUUUGUUCUUCUCAAAGUUCCUUUCUUUUUUCAGAUUCUUUUCAAACUCCUUUUUAUAAAAAUGGUUUUACUUUUGAAAAUUUUCAUACCAAACCCUUAGUUUGAGUUCAGACACACCCGGAAGUAUGUCUAAAUCCAUCAAACCAAAGCUCUGAUACCAACUUGUAACAUCCCAAAAAUACAGGCCAAAAAUUUCAUUUUUAAUUACAUCAUUUUAAAACCAAUAGUGUAAUAAAACAUCUGUAAUAUUAUGUCAUGUCAAACCAAAGUAGAAAUAAUCAAACAUAUUAUCAUAAAACAAUAUCAGAGUGUAAUCCCAAAGAUCUCAUGUGCGGAAAACCAUAGUGUGAUGCGCUGCGAUCAAGCCGGCUCCUUUCCUUUAAACACGAAGUACCUGAAACCAAAACUGAAAACCGUAAGCACAAAGCUUAGUGAGUUUCCCCAUCAUACCACAUACUACACAAUCACAUAUCAUACAUACUGUCGGGCAAUUCUGGGGUGCCCGACUUACCCGGUACGGCCAUUCUGCGGUGCCGACCUACCCGUGUCAAGCCGUUCUGGGUUGCUGACUACCCAUGUCAAGCCAUUAUGGGGUGCUGACUACCCAUCGGUUCUAACAACCGAUCCUCAGGGACUAUUUCACCCCUUACUGCUACUAUCACAUAUAUCAUAACAUAACAUAUUAUCAGACAUAUCUGGUCGAUCUACCCUUCGGUCCUAACGACCGAACUUGGGGACUACUCCCCUCCUACUACCACUAUCACAUAUAACAUAUCAUGCCAGCAUAUAAACAUAUCAUCACAUACUGUCAGACUUAUCUGGGGUGUCUGACCUACCUUUCGGUCCUAACAACCGAACUCUACUACUAUCACAUAUACAUAUCAUGCCAGCAUAUAACAUAUCAGGUAGUAGCAAACCUAGAUGAUAUCACAAAGACAAUAAUCUAACAUACAACUCCUACUGGUGGGCCGGCAUUGUGGCCGUAGACCCACCGCUACUGGAAGGUAACUCACCUCACACUGCUGAAGUCUCGAAGACACAAUCCCACACUUGCUGAAGUCCCGCAGACUCGACCCCAGCUGCUGGCUAACAGAUUCCCGAACUGUCAACACCAAAAUAACACCCAAUUAAUAAUUGGGUCCCAAAGCAUAACCAUAAGUACAUUCUUUGGGUAAUUACUACAUUACCCCUUGCUUGGCUUAAUCAAGCCCAAG